UAAAUAGACUGCACAGAAAACAGAACCAACUCCUAAAUAUAGGAAGGCAUAACAACUUAAAUCAGAUACUUAACUACUACUUCUGUGGAAUAGGUCAUGACAAAACUGAAAAUAUUUACAGGUGAUACAGGGCUCGUGCCAGUUCGUUGAUUGUCUAUGGUUAAAUCUGGCCUGAUAGCAAUUGGAUAAUGCCCCGUACAAAUGACUCUCCUCCGUACCUUCAUAUGGUGAGGAGCUUCUGGCACCAAGGUGCAUUAGUUUAAACUUUUACUUCUAAUACAACGAUGAAUUGUACGUGUUAUGAUAUUUAUUUAUUUAUAUAUGUGGAAGUGUGAUCUUCGAC
RNAcentral lists this small RNA (343 nucleotides) under Vigna angularis var. angularis. RNAcentral describes it as "Non-protein coding transcript". The record is from RNAcentral. Lineage: Eukaryota; Viridiplantae; Streptophyta; Magnoliopsida; Fabales; Fabaceae.